Long non-coding RNA from Pecten maximus, 1222 nucleotides. RefSeq lists it as uncharacterized. Lineage: Eukaryota; Metazoa; Mollusca; Bivalvia; Pectinida; Pectinidae. The transcript is spliced from 2 exons. The record is from RefSeq and is a predicted model, not a curated record.
GAACAAUUCACUGAUAUUGACAUUGCCUAGCCAGUUAUUUUAUUUAUUGAUUUUCGAGGAGAUAAUCUCUUCAAAAACAACUUGGAUGUUGUAGACAGGAAAGUACAACGUUGUUAAUUCGAUAUACAAAACAGUGUUGUCUCCCUUUCCUAACAGGUGCAGUAGUAUUGUUGUCAUUUUAAAAAAAGCUGUCCAAGCAUGCGAGGGACCACGUAACCAACGAUGAACCACUGUGACACGUGACCUAAAAAAUCUGAUAUUGAUGACAUCCAUUACGCUAAAUGUUUUUUUUCUGGAUUUCUUACUCACGCCCUCGCGAUAAUAAUGCGGUAUGGAAUGGGCGUGUUUACACAGAAAUGACAGGAAGGUUGGGUCUGUGAAAUUGUUCUAUGACUAUGUAAGAGUUAAACUUAUCUGUUAAAAACAAAAUUCUUACGGGAACGAUUUUAUAUCUGAACUGAACUUUUGUACAUUACAACUGGUGUAACUGACUAAGUACAUGUAUCCUCGGGUAAUGGCCGAGUGUGGCGCUACACAAGGAAGUGUUGGCAAACAGCGGAGUAAACGAAACUGCAGAUGGAUUAUAGUGUUAAUUACAUUUACAAGCCUCUUCGUACUCUCUAUUCAUGAUUUUAGUCCUUUGAAAUCGUUUGAAAAAAUGAGAGAAUCCCUCAUGACGAAAUCGGAUAUAGCUUCUGCAAAGACACAGACAAAGAAGGACCAUGGUGUAGCAAAGCAUGAGUGUAUAACAUGUACCUCCCUCGGGCCAAUGUGUAACCACGGAGUGUGUGUGGAUCUGGAUCACUGCUCAAGUACAUGUAAAUGUGACCAAGGAUAUGGCGGAAUUCAUUGUGACACAAAAAAGUCAAAAUCGUCAAUUCUAGAAAAACUUCAAAUGUCUGUCAAAGUGUGAUAUCAAGGGGGAAAACAGGAGAAAAGCCUAGACAACUAUGUUAAUCACGUAGGAAAUCACGCUGUCUCCCGGUCCUGUGAUUGUUUGGAUUUUGUGUCAAGGUGAACUCGCCGGUCGUUUCCGCUUGACUGGAUAUUGAUGAUGAGAUGACUUAACAUCAAUCAGGCGAUUACGACACCGGGACUUAAGCGCCUAGGUCUGAUAACAUACCUGUCAGGUGUUAACAAAAGUCAGGAACUUGAUAGCUAGACCAGUAUAGUAUAGAUCUUGCUAAAGGCCAUGCUGAUAAACUAUCGUUCUUUUUUCCUC